UGCACAGCACAGGAGCUAGAGCAGGAAGUCCUAGAUUCAAGUCUCAACUCUGAAAUAUACUUGCUAUUUAUAGAUCUUGAGUAAUUCACUUAAUCUCAAAAUCCUUUGGUAGUCGGACUCUAUAACUAUGAGGAAGCCGAGACUCAGAGGACUCGAGUGAUUUUUUUCCCCCAAGGUCACAUAGUAAGUAGGAGACAGAGUCAGGACAGGAAUCCAGAACUCCUGACUUGAGGAACAGUGCUCAUUUUCUUCAUGACACUACCUGAUAAUAUGAGUGCAUUAAUUUUGAAUAAAAAGUUUUAUUUUCAUAUU
RNAcentral lists this long non-coding RNA (312 nucleotides) under Monodelphis domestica (gray short-tailed opossum). RNAcentral describes it as "lncRNA (ENSMODG00000038599.1)". The record is from RNAcentral. Lineage: Eukaryota; Metazoa; Chordata; Mammalia; Didelphimorphia; Didelphidae.